UGCUUAGUUGAAUUUUGAGUCCGUUGGUAAGAGGGUUUUCUGCUGUAUUUUGAUUCUUAGUGUGUUAAAACUUGUCAAUGCAUGUUCUUUACAUUUAUUUUGCAUAAUAUUGAUGUUAAUAGAACUGUGUCAGCAUGUGGAUUUCUGCAGAAUUCAUUCUUGCUUUGGCUGUAAGUGGAGUCCAAUCUAAAGAUUUUCAGCAUGAUGAAAGCUGUCCCACUGGCUGGGAAAAAUUCCGGAUGCAAUGUUUUAAAUUUUUCAGUGACUUGAAACCAUGGGCUGAAGCAGAG
Long non-coding RNA from Carassius carassius (crucian carp), 290 nucleotides. RefSeq lists it as uncharacterized. The transcript has 2 exons. The record is from RefSeq and is a predicted model, not a curated record. Lineage: Eukaryota; Metazoa; Chordata; Actinopteri; Cypriniformes; Cyprinidae.